GGAUUGUGGCUCAGUGGUAAAGCACUUGCCUAGCAUGUGUGAGGCUCUGUGUUCAAUUCUCAGCACCA
RNAcentral lists this transfer RNA (68 nucleotides) under Marmota monax (woodchuck). RNAcentral's name for it is "tRNA.Ala". The record is from RNAcentral. Lineage: Eukaryota; Metazoa; Chordata; Mammalia; Rodentia; Sciuridae.